This 801-nucleotide ribosomal RNA is filed under the name uncultured bacterium. RNAcentral describes it as "bacterial SSU rRNA". It matches the Rfam family "Bacterial small subunit ribosomal RNA", at positions 8 to 796 of the family's 1533-position model. The record is from RNAcentral.
AGAGUUUGAUCCUGGCUCAGGAUGAACGCUAGCUACAGGCUUAACACAUGCAAGUCGAGGGGAAACGACAUCGAAAGCUUGCUUUUGAUGGGCGUCGACCGGCGCACGGGUGAGUAACGCGUAUCCAACCUGCCCAUCACUUGGGGAUAACCUUGCGAAAGUAAGACUAAUACCCAAUGACGUCUCUAGAAGACAUCUGAAAGAGAUUAAAGAUUUAUCGGUGAUGGAUGGGGAUGCGUCUGAUUAGCUUGUUGGCGGGGUAACGGCCCACCAAGGCGACGAUCAGUAGGGGUUCUGAGAGGAAGGUCCCCCACAUUGGAACUGAGACACGGUCCAAACUCCUACGGGAGGCAGCAGUGAGGAAUAUUGGUCAAUGGACGAGAGUCUGAACCAGCCAAGUAGCGUGCAGGAUGACGGCCCUAUGGGUUGUAAACUGCUUUUAUAAGGGAAUAAAGUGAGAGUCGUGACUCUUUUUGCAUGUACCUUAUGAAUAAGGACCGGCUAAUUCCGUGCCAGCAGCCGCGGUAAUACGGAAGGUCCGGGCGUUAUCCGGAUUUAUUGGGUUUAAAGGGAGCGUAGGCCGGAGAUUAAGCGUGUUGUGAAAUGUAGGCGCUCAACGUCUGCACUGCAGCGCGAACUGGUUUCCUUGAGUACGCACAAAGUGGGCGGAAUUCGUGGUGUAGCGGUGAAAUGCUUAGAUAUCACGAAGAACUCCGAUUGCGAAGGCAGCUCACUGGAGCGCAACUGACGCUGAAGCUCGAAAGUGCGGGUAUCGAACAGAAUUAGAUACCCUGGUAGUCC